UUGUUAUCUGUUUGGACUUUAUGUCCGGGUGUGUAUGCACAGCCCUGUUUGCGUGUGUUUGUGUGUUUUUACAGGAGAUCCCAGAGGAGGCGAGGACUGAGAGAGAAAGAGCCGGUCCCCCAGCACACAGAGCAGUCUGAUCUGCCAGAUUUUGAUCCAAAAACACUGAUGUGUUCCACUAUGGGGUCAUCCGACAUGCAUCCAAUAGGAAGGCCAGAUGCGGCUCAUCUGGACGUAAACAAUGGCAGGAACUGGGAUCGGGGAUCGGCUUUGAAUAACUUCAGAAUCCAUCCAUAGACGGCUGCAUCCAUUCUUCCCUAAACAGGGCGCUGCGGUGAGACGUCCAGGUUCUUCUUCAGGUCAUGCAGGUCGCUUUGGGGUCGUAAACCAUUCACACACAGAGGUUUGAUUGAGGUUGCAUUUAAUUAGUAGCAUGACAGACCUUGCAACAAGUACAUAGAUUUUAAAAAUUGGAUUUCAGCAAAAAAAAAAAAAAAAAAAAAAAAAGAAAGAAAAAAAUCUGAAUUUGCAUCAAGACCUGUUACGUGAAUGUAGCCUUAUAUUUGUACUAAGACUAAAGCAAGCAGUUUGGAUUCAAGUGGUACACUUAAAAAUGUCAUCUCAUCUUUAUCUCACUACUAGGUUCUAAAAUUAAAUUCUCGUAUUAUUGGGAGCUAAUAGUUUGAAGGAAAUAGUUUGUUCUGCUUUUCCAAGAUCUGGUCACAGGAGCCCUCAAGGUCUGGACUUGAGGAGCCCUGGUGUCGGGGUCCCCAGGCCAGUAGGGUGAUCCUGGAUCCAUUGAGGAUGGAAACCUCCACAAGAUAUAAUCUUUGAAAAAGUGACACACAUCUUGACAACACACUCAGUUGCUCAAUGCUAAUGAUGUUAUCUUCUGGUUCACUAGAUAUUCUCCUCUCUCAACAACCAUACACUGAGUCUCUGUCCAUGGGAACAGGGACAGGGACAUUCAGAUGAAACCCUUUCAUAUUUCUCUCCACAUGAAUUUUUGCAUCUGUGACCACAGUGACUGCAGUCCUUCUGAUCAACUGAUGGUCAUUAGCUUUAGAGGUCUCAGAAACCAACCAAAAUCUGAACCUUGAAGGUUUUUUUCUUAAGCUUCAUGGCUUCCAUCACCCCUGAUGUCCACUAAUAGGGACUCCUGGAGGCCACAUCUUUAAUGGAAGCACUGAUUUUGGAUUGUUUGGCAGCAACUUUACCCAACAAAAGUAUUCUAGAAACUUAAAGGUAUGAUCAGGUUCCUUUGCCAGUUAUACCAAGUUCAGUCUGACCACUUAUUUGUUCUGUUCUAUGUACCUCAAUAGCUUCAUUAAUUUUGACACCUCUGGCCUUCCCUAACCUGAGGGUUCCAGACAGGUCUGAUGACCUCACACCAAAAAUGCUUUAAAAAAUUUAACCUGAAUAAAGACAUGCACAUUUAAAAUCCAUCACUAAAAGAAUUAUGAACAAUAUAAUGACAUGACAAUCCCUGACACAUGUCAGACAUUGACAGGGAGCAGGCUUUCUUUAAACAGCACUAUUUUGUGCUGUACCAAGAUUAAAAUGGUACAUUUUCUCUAGCUACCUUCUGGCAAUGAGGAUCGGAACCCACAGUGGAAGAGAAAAAGUAGAGAGAGGAAAGAUGAAAAAUGAGAGUGAAGUAACUGUUGUAACAAAUGAGCAUAAAAAAAUAUGCAGACAAUAUGCAUAAAAAUAGUAGUUAUAAGCAAAGCAAAGCUAUAAAUAUGUACUUUUACAUGAAAUAUGAGCAUCUCUUUUGCUCUUUUCUGUGGAAUGGAUUUAAUGUUAUUGCUAAUCAGAUGUUCUUUCUACCUAAAUUAAAUACACACUAAAGAAAAAAAAAAUACUUAUUUUUCUAUGAUCUUCCACUGGCAGGGUAUAGAAGAGGUUGUGAGACUAAAUAAUUCAUACCGAUGCCAAGCAUUCACAUACAGUGCAUAUUCAAAAAUAGUUGUUUUGACUGUAUUACACUUGUGCUAAAAGCCAAGUCAGGUUCCUACUCCUCACCACCUUGUAGCUGACAACAAAAUCUGUCUGGGACAUCCAAGAAAAACAAUCAAAAGCCUGACAGACACUCAUAACACUAUUCAAGUCUGAGUGUUAAAAGUGUUGGACAAAGACUCUGCCAAGAUAAAACUAGAGGGAGGCCAGGAGAGAGGGGUUGUGCUACAAUACACAGCUUUUCAAAAUAUUUGGGCUCCUUGAACUUUUUAAAAUUUUGUUUCAUUUUUUUUUCUUUUUUUACAACAUGUGAUAGACCAACUCACAGAGGUGCAGAUUUAUGAAGUGGAAAGAAAAUGAGACAAAAAGAAAAAACUUAUGAUUAGGGCCAUUGUAGAUACAAAAAAUUGGGAAGAGAUUUCUGCCCCCAAAAAAACUCAGAAAUUUUCUAGGAAAAAAACUAACUGUUUUGCCCCGCUGCAGAAACUAGAGAAAUUCAGAAUUUUUUAAAAAGAAAAUCUUAGAAAUUCUCUUGAAAAUACAAAAUUUCAGAGUUUGAGAAUUUGAAAAUUAGAUCUAAAACCAGAAAUUUUGAUUAAUCUCAGAAAUUGUCUUGUUUCAAGGUUUGAAAAUGUUCAGCUUCCUUUUUUUAUCUAUGUCAUAAAAACUAUAAGUGAAGAAGAAGAUCAUGUAAGUUAUGUUUAUGAGUUCACAAGUUUAUACAAGAAGUGCUUGCAUGUGACUAAAGGAGGGAUUGACACUCAAGAGAGACAUUUGGUCAAAAAUGUUACGGUCCCACAAAGAACCAAAGAUCAUUACAUUUGUCCCACUUAUUUUAAGAAAGCUCCUGUUAAUGCAGCAGCCGUCUUUCAAAAAUUCUCAUUGAGACAAAUAAUCUCAAUCGAAGAUUUUAACCAAUAGAAAUUUUAUUUCUGCUCUGUUGACCAUUAAUAAAUUGUAAAAGGUAUUUAUUUUUUAAGUUGUCUCAAUAGCAAAAAAAGCUUAAAGAUUUAUGAACUCCUUUUACAUCCCAUCACAGUUAUAAGCAACACCUUGUUACUACACCUGUUUAUUCACGGUUGAAAAACCAUGACAUUCUAGCACAAAAACAUUUUGAAAAAAGUUUUUCUGAAAUUGCAGUGCUUCCAUUAUGGCAAAUUAUUUUUCAGAAUUUCAAUUGGCACAAUUUAAUGGUUAAUUGAAAUGCAGAUACAGUCAUCAGCAGUGCUCUUUUUCUGCCUUCUCAGUUUUCUUUCUGUUGUGUCCAGCCUAAACCUUUUAGCACACGUAAAAGUGAUUUGGCUUGUUGUGUCGGAAUCAUAUCAAAGGCUUUUGCCCACGCCGUCCUUUGGCUCUCAGUCAGCGCCGCAGUUUCCUUGAUGUUCUUCUCCGUCAAGUCUUUUCUUCCUCCGCUGCCAGUUUGACUCAUUUAACAUUCCCUGGAGAAGAUGGCACUGAAGGGUGACAGCACCAAAGGUGACAGAACGGAGCUGAGUGUGUGAGGGCGUGUGUGCGUGUGCGUGUGCAGCACGAACAGUGUGAAGCUACUAGAUAGUGGCCACUCGGUCAGUGUUGGGUAUGGUGGCUGCAGAGGAACAGGAGCUGUCUUCGCUGUGACUCGUCUCCUUCCAUUCUUUCAUCUGGAAGUGUCCUUCACCUCAGGGGACAGGUGGGAGGAAGAUGAAAGAGACGGGCUGAAAAGUGGCUGAGGGAAGGGUGUCUGGUUGGGUCGGGGGGCUUUAGAGAGUGAGGGAAGUGAACUAACAGGACUCCAAAAAAAUAAAAAAGUGCUCAGACAGUUGGACGGUUGGAUAUGACUGCAGUAUGCUCUAAAUUCAUGUUAUGUUGAACUGUUCCAAAAGAAAAUAAAAUGGAUCAAAUGUUCUUAUGACAACCUUUCCUACAUUCUCCUCACAUUACACACAGGAGUUAGGAAGAAGAAUCACUCCCUCCUGGCAACAGUUCUCGAUUGUGAUUCUUUUGAUUAACUGUCUACAGACCUGGCUGCUUUUACUGUUUUUAUAUGCUUAGUGAAAUAAUGUUUGCUCAUGACAAGCUGAACUUUUGUUUAACAAGAAUAAUCCCUGUACCCCCCCACCCCCAUAAAGACCCUUCAUAGAGACUGUUUCAUUGGAUUCUUCAUGCCCACUGCUAUACAGUCCCCAGGUCAUCUCAUCUCAUAUAUCUCCCGGAGUAUUUACAACACUUUCUGCAUCACGCUCUCUGUUCCUGCCUAGGUGGCUAUUUUCCACCAGAUGAGCAAUCUUUAUAGACGUGCAGCCGCCAUAACAGGCCCGAUUUUCAGUGCUAGCAUGUGCGGCGUAAGUCUCUGGAAAUUGUCACGUUUCCUGUCCAGCAAAUCAUCCCUAACAUAUGAUGUUCGGGGGUGCAGCUUUUAUUCCGUUUGAAUGGGUGACUACGAGGAGCCAGUGGAAUGUUGGAUUCAUCAUGCCAACAUGAAGUAAAUGUAUUUGCACUGCUUGCUUGUGUGCUUUAAUCUGACUGAUCAAAACGAAAUGCAGUCAUCUGGAGCUUUGGCUGAUUGCAGCAAGAUAAGCUUAUAGCUGUAACCUGAGAAUAGACUGACCCCCACUAGGGAAUUGGGGAUUGUCUGUA
Molecule: long non-coding RNA, 4575 nt
Organism: Gambusia affinis (western mosquitofish)
Lineage: Eukaryota; Metazoa; Chordata; Actinopteri; Cyprinodontiformes; Poeciliidae
Exons: 3
Source: RefSeq, a predicted model, not a curated record